CUUGGUCAUUUAGAGGAAGUAAAAGUCGUAACAAGGUUUCCGCUAGGUGAACCUGCGGAAGGAUCAUUAUUGAAUGAACUUGGUGUGGUUGUUGCUGGCCCUUUUGGGGGCAUGUGCACACCCACCAUCCUCAUCUCUCCACCUGUGCACCUCUUGUAGACUUGGGGGAUAGACUUUCCGAGGCAACUCGGUCUGGAGGAAUGCUUCUCAAGCUUUCUUUGUAUUUCCCGGUCUACGUUUUUUUUUAUAUACCCCAUAGCAUGUAACAGAAUGUAUCAUUUGGGCCCUUGUGCCUAUAAACCUUAUACAACUUUCAGCAACGGAUCUCUUGGCUCUCGCAUCGAUGAAGAACGCAGCGAAAUGCGAUAAGUAAUGUGAAUUGCAGAAUUCAGUGAAUCAUCGAAUCUUUGAACGCACCCUGCGCCCCUUGGUAUUCCGAGGAGCAUGCCUGUUUGAGUGUCAUUAAAUUCUCAACCUUAUCAGUUUAUUUCUGAUAGUGGCUUGGAUGUGGGGGUUUCUCUUGCUGGCUCAGGUCAGCUCCCCUUAAAUGCAUUAGCUGGUGCCCCGUGUGGACUGUCUAUUGGUGUGAUAAUUAUCUACGCCAUGCAUGGAUGGUCUGCUUAGCACUGCUUCUAACCGUCUCAGACAAUACAUGACAAUUUGACCUCAAAUCAGGUAGGACUACCCGCUGAACUUAAGCAUAUCAAUAAGCGGAGGAAAAGAAACUAACAAGGAUUCCCCUAGUAACUGCGAGUGAAGCGGGAAAAGCUCAAAUUUAAAAUCUGGCGGUCUCUGGCUGUCCGAGUUGUAAUCUAGAGAAGUGUUAUCCGCGCUGGACCGUGUACAAGUCUCCUGGAAUGGAGCGUCACAGAGGGUGAGAAUCCCGUCUUUGACACGGACUGCCAGGGCUUUGUGAUGCGCUCUCAAAGAGUCGAGUUGUUUGGGAAUGCAGCUCAAAAUGGGUGGUAAAUUCCAUCUAAAGCUAAAUAUUGGCGAGAGACCGAUAGCGAACAAGUACCGUGAGGGAAAGAUGAAAAGAACUUUGGAAAGAGAGUUAAACAGUACAAGAAAUUGCUGAAAGGGAAACGCUUGAAGU
RNAcentral lists this ribosomal RNA (1096 nucleotides) under uncultured Basidiomycota. RNAcentral's name for it is "eukaryotic LSU rRNA". The stretch from base 662 to 1096 matches the Rfam family "Eukaryotic large subunit ribosomal RNA", at positions 1 to 429 of the family's 3401-position model. Lineage: Eukaryota; Fungi; Basidiomycota. The record is from RNAcentral.